UGUUUUAAAUUGAUUAAGUUAUCUAAAAACAACAUUUUAGGCAUUUUAAUUUAUUUAAAUAGUGUGUGCUUCUUGGUGUGUUUCUUUGAUUCGAUCCAGGCCAUUAAUUCGAAUUAAUCGGUGGCUAUUAUUAGCAAUCCACAUUUGUCUCAUUUAUCCAAUCAAAAAUUAGGAUUUAAUGAAUACUAUUAUUUUAGAAAAUCUGAAAAUAAAUAAAAUUAAAAAAAACUCUCUCUCUCUAGUACAUUGCCUCCAACGGAUAUAAAAAUAAUAAUAAAAAAAGGAACGGUGACAGGAGUCAUCACCAACGUCUCUUUGCUUAAAUUCACAUACAACACUCAUUCUCUCCAUGGAUUAAAAAAAAGAAAAAAGGAAAAGAGAAAAGUUGUACAGCUUUUCCUCCCCCACCUUCCUUCCUUCUUCGCCACCCACACCUCUUCGUCACUUCCCUCGCCGACAAAACCACCGACCAAACUCCAUCCAUUGCCGGUGAAAUCGUCCGCCGCCGCGACACACAUACCUCCGUCGCCGCCAACUCGCCGACUGUGCCGGUAUCACUCAUCCCCACCACCACGAACCUCU
Molecule: long non-coding RNA, 582 nt
Filed under: Lathyrus oleraceus (garden pea)
Lineage: Eukaryota; Viridiplantae; Streptophyta; Magnoliopsida; Fabales; Fabaceae
Description: Pisum sativum (pea) long non-coding RNA (PSAT_LNC013413)
Source: RNAcentral